UUCCCUGUGGCUCAGCUGGUAGAGCAUGGUGUUUGCAACGCCAGGGUUGUGGGUUCGAUUCCCACAGGGGGGC
Molecule: transfer RNA, 73 nt
Filed under: Salmo salar (Atlantic salmon)
Lineage: Eukaryota; Metazoa; Chordata; Actinopteri; Salmoniformes; Salmonidae
Rfam family: tRNA
About the family: Transfer RNA (tRNA) molecules are approximately 80 nucleotides in length. Their secondary structure includes four short double-helical elements and three loops (D, anti-codon, and T loops).
Source: Rfam by way of RNAcentral